GAGACUCUGUGCGCGUGCAUAUCAAUAAGCGGAGGAAAAGAAACUAACUAAGGAUUCCCUUAGUAACGGCGAGUGAAGCGGGAAGAGCUCAAAUUUGAAAUCUUCAAGGUUCUACCUUGACGAAUUGUAGUUUAUAGAAGUGUUUUCUGUUAGUAGAGUGGCAAAAGUUCUUUGGAAUAGGACAUCAUAGAGGGUGAGAAUCCCGUAUUUGGUCAUUCUCUCUAGCUUUGUGAUACACUUUCAACGAGUCGGAUUGUUUGGGAAUGCAGUCCAAAAUGGGUGGUAAAUUUCAUCUAAAGCUAAAUAUUGGCGAGAGACCGAUAGCGAACAAGUACCGUGAGGGAAAGAUGAAAAGAACUUUGAAAAGAGAGUUAAACAGUACGUGAAAUUGUCAAAAGGGAAGCGUUUGACACCAGUGUUGUUUUUCCGAAAAUCAAUUAAGAAUGGCCGGAUUUUAAGUUUCAUGACCUUAAAAGCUUGUUUCUUAUUUUUCUUGUCUUUCUUAAUGCACUUUUCGGUUAACAAGUCAACAUCAAUUUCUUUUGUUGUAAAAGGUUAAGAGGAAGGUGGCUUUACUUUCGGGUAAAGUGUUUAUAGCCUUUUAACUCUGCAAUCGGAGAGAUUGAGGUCUGCAGCGUAGAUCCUUCGGGGCUAGAUACGUUUGUGCUAAGUUAUAGCUUUUCAUAGACAACUUGUUGACUAUGUUUAGUCUUGUAGCUUACUCGCAUGCGCUAUUUUACCUACGCUUAGGAUGUUGAACUCUAUCACACACAG
RNAcentral lists this ribosomal RNA (774 nucleotides) under uncultured Neocallimastigales. Its description in RNAcentral is "partial large subunit ribosomal RNA". It matches the Rfam family "Eukaryotic large subunit ribosomal RNA", at positions 23 to 621 of the family's 3401-position model. The record is from RNAcentral. Lineage: Eukaryota; Fungi; Neocallimastigomycota; Neocallimastigomycetes; Neocallimastigales.